GACGAACGCUGGCGGCGUGCCUAAUACAUGCAAGUCGAGCGAAUGGAUUAAGAGCUUGCUCUUAUGAAGUUAGCGGCGGACGGGUGAGUAACACGUGAGUAACCUGCCCAUAAGACUGGGAUAACUCCGGGAAACCGGGGCUAAUACCGGAUAACAUUUUGAACCGCAUGGUUCGAAAUUGAAUGGCGGCUUCGGCUGUCACUUAUGGAUGGACCCGCGUCGCAUUAGCUAGUUGGUGAGGUAACGGCUCACCAAGGCAACGAUGCGUAGCCGACCUGAGAGGGUGAUCGGCCACGCUGGGACUGAGACACGGCCCAGACUCCUACGGGAGGCAGCAGUAGGGAACCUUCCGCAAUGGACGAAAGUCUGACGGAGCAACGCCGCGUGAGUGAUGAAGGCUUUCGGGUCGUAAAACUCUGUUGUUAGGGAAGAACAAGUGCUAGUUGAAUAAGCUGGCACCUUGACGGUACCUAACCAGAAAGCCACGGCUAACUACGUGCCAGCAGCCGCGGUAA
Molecule: ribosomal RNA, 515 nt
Filed under: uncultured bacterium
Lineage: Bacteria
Description: partial 16S ribosomal RNA
Rfam family: Bacterial small subunit ribosomal RNA
Source: RNAcentral